RNAcentral lists this ribosomal RNA (253 nucleotides) under uncultured bacterium. RNAcentral's name for it is "partial 16S ribosomal RNA". It matches the Rfam family "Bacterial small subunit ribosomal RNA", at positions 524 to 776 of the family's 1533-position model. The record is from RNAcentral.
UACGUAGGGGGCAAGCGUUGUCCGGAAUCAUUGGGCGUAAAGCGCGUGUAGGCGGUUCAGUAAGUCCGCUGUGAAAGUCAAGGGCUCAACCCUUGAAUGCCGGUGGAUACUGUUGAACUAGAGUCCGGAAGAGGCGAGUGGAAUUCCAGGUGUAGCGGUGAAAUGCGCAGAUAUCAGGAGGAACACCGAUGGCGAAGGCAGCUCGCUGGGACGGUACUGACGCUGAGACGCGAAAGCGUGGGGAGCAAACAGG